CCUCGUCUCCAGUUUUUCAGGCUCCUCCCCUUCCGCAACGGCAGUCAGCAUAGAGCAGUUCGACCUGCUGGUUCAGCAGGUCAGGGGCCUCACCGAAGCAGUGCAGGCCAUGUAGCAGCAGCAGCAGCCGUAGGCAUUUGUACGGCUGGAAAGAGCAUCGCCGGAGUUUCAGAAGCCGGCAAUCGGGUGGCCCACUUGGGCCAGUCGCCCUGUAUCCCCCGAAAAGGGGAAGUAGAGGGCGGAGAGCCCUUUGUCUG
This 257-nucleotide long non-coding RNA is filed under the name Elaeis guineensis (African oil palm). Its description in RNAcentral is "long non-coding RNA (EGUI_LNC034951)". The record is from RNAcentral. Lineage: Eukaryota; Viridiplantae; Streptophyta; Magnoliopsida; Arecales; Arecaceae.